AAUCCCCGUUCGUCACCCCGACGGCUGCGAGGCAGAGAGCGGACCCUGAGCUCGAAGCCGUGCGCCUUCCUCACUGCUCCCUGUUCUUGCUCACACAGACACAAACGAUUAACCACGUUUCAUCUACGCUUAAUCUCCCUACCACAGCUGAAGCCAGUAUAAUAUAAAUAUAUGUCGUGAUAUUGAUUUUUUGCCUGAAGCCUCAGUUUACAUUUUUUGUUAUAUUUGUAGAAAUUUUUGAACCAAUUCUAAGAGCUGAUGCCAAUUAUUGAUGUGCCACUGUAACCUGAUUAAGUUUCCGGAAAAUGUAGAUUCGAUUUGGCAAAUAAAGGUUAGAUUAGAUAUUAAACCUAUCAUGGAGUGCACGUGCUGCAUGUGCAAGCGCAAAGGUGCCAGCGAUUCAAAUCGAGUUGGGCCCACAUGUGCCUGGAAAUUUUUUAGCUCCGCCUUCAAAAUUUGAGCGUCCCGCCCAUCUCCCCGUUUCAAUUCUUCCACUUUGAAUUAGAUCCCCCGCCACCACAGCCUGAAGCACCCAAAUCCAUGAGAUUUGCCCUAGGUCUAUUACUGGAUAGCAAGUGCUAGUUCCAUCAGGGGUCCCAGGUGCCUAGGUUGGAUAUCCAGACGACCUAAUCGUGAGGAAGUUUUAGGAUUCAGCCCCUUCCCCUCCCAUUUCUUGGUGUUCUGAUGCGAUUCAGGGUGCUGCUUCCCGUGAACCUAGUGGCAGGAGCAGUAGUAGUAUUUGGACCAGAGCCCCGAGAUGCCUGAGUCCAGGGACGGCAGGAGUGAGGACCUAGCUGACCUUUCUGGUGGUGUUGGUGGUGGAGGGUUCUUUAUCAGGAGGGUGGCCUCGCCGGGAGCCCUAGCGGUGAGGGGUGUCAGGAAGCCGUUGGCGCGGCGUUAUAUUUCACCCUCGAGGAACAAGGAGAACCUGCUGCCGGUUUGGGCGUUGAGGGUCACACCGACAAAGAGGAGCCCGCUUCCUGGAUGGUACCCCAGGACGCCGCUCCGUGAUAUUACGGCCAUUGCAAAGGCUAUUCAGAGAAGUCGUUCAAGGAUUGCUGCAGCUCAGCAGCGAAGCCAAAGGAUCGAGCAGUCUUCACAAUCUGUGAACGUGACUACUCCAGCACAAGCAGAGCAGGAUGCUCACAUUGCUGAAGCCUCCCAUGCUGUUGCAUCUGGCUCCGGCUCAACUGAAAGAGAAGCUGUAGCAAACCCUGCUACUGUUUUGGCUGAUGACAAUUUGAAUGUGUCUUCUUUGGCAGCAGAAGGCUCAUUGAAUACUCCAUCCAAACCAAUGGAUCCUGCCCUUGCUGACAAGAAACUUUCCGGUUCAAUAGAGAAGGUAGAGAAGUUGGUGAGGAAAAACCUGAAGCGAACAUCGAGGGCUGCCCAGGCCUCCAGGAGGGCCACCCAAAGGCGCAAUCUUAUGUCCAUGCGAUGAAUUUAUUGCUGUACUUUGCUGGGGGAAGAGAAAGUCCACCUCAGGCUUGUCCUCCUUCCUCUUGUCUGUGCUGCUCUUCUUCCAAUACUUGCCGUGGCGUGAUGCUCACGGUCAUUCCUUGUUCCCUUCUCGAGGACAAGAAUAUGGAAGCCAUUGGCUCUCUGCUUGAGGUUCUAGGACUGCAGCUACUAGUGUGAGGUGUGAUCUGGUUCAUGCUAUUGCUGAUGUAUGCAUACUUUUCUGUGUAUCCCUGUGGGCCGUUGAACAAAUAAAUCUUUAAUUUACUUUUCUGCCGCACUAAGCCACUAAUACCAUAACCACUAGUGUAUGAAUAUUUUCUGUUGUGGCCGCUUGUAUUAUAUGAACUUCAAUAUGUAAGCCAGUCGGCACCAUGAGAAAUUUAGCAUAGUAUCUAUGCAUGACAUAGGUGUUUGGUCAUGAUCUCUAAGCUCCUAGUGUCAGAUGCUUUUUACAACCUUGUUCGUCAGGAGUAAGGUCCAUAACCGAACUACAAACAUGUGCAUUCUAGGCUGGUAGCCCUUGUACAACAGAAGCUCAAUGGCACCAACGAGGACUGAGAAUCCUGACCAAUUCACCUUCCUGUCGUGCACAUGAUAGCUCAGAAGAUCGACGGGACAUCAGGAAGCACAGCAAAUGAUGGGCCGUGCUGUUAUGACUUAAAAGGGAAGACCAGAGCAAGCAAUCGCUUGCAGAACAAAACAUUCAGUUUUGCAAUUUGAAACAUAGCCCGGUUGUUUUUCUCAUGUCCCCGUCAGGACUCAGGAGGUAACAGAAGCCCAUUUAAAUUAGAGGAAAAACAUCCGAAUACCGUUAAUAUGAUCUAUCACUAAACUA
Zea mays is the source of this 2296-nucleotide RNA transcript. RefSeq lists it as uncharacterized. The transcript has 5 exons. Lineage: Eukaryota; Viridiplantae; Streptophyta; Magnoliopsida; Poales; Poaceae. The record is from RefSeq and is marked validated.